UGGGGAAUUUUGGACAAUGGGGGCAACCCUGAUCCAGCAAUGCCGCGUGUGUGAAGAAGGCCUUCGGGUUGUAAAGCACUUUUGUCCGGGAAGAAAUCGCACCUGAUAAUACCGGGUGUGGAUGACGGUACCGGAAGAAUAAGGACCGGCUAACUACGUGCCAACAGCCACGGUAAUACGUAGGGUCCAAGCGUUAAUCGGAAUUACUGGGCGUAAAGCGUGCGCAGGCGGUUGUGCAAGACCGAUGUGAAAUCCCCGGGCUUAACCUGGGAAUUGCAUUGGUGACUGCACGGCUAGAGUGUGUCAGAGGGGGGUAGAAUUCCACGUGUAGCAGUGAAAUGCGUAGAGAUGUGGAGGAAUACCGAUGGCGAAGGCAGCCCCCUGGGAUAACACUGACGCUCAUGCACGAAAGCGUGGGGAGCAAACAGG
This 429-nucleotide ribosomal RNA is filed under the name Bacillota bacterium. RNAcentral's name for it is "Firmicutes bacterium partial 16S ribosomal RNA". It matches the Rfam family "Bacterial small subunit ribosomal RNA", at positions 355 to 776 of the family's 1533-position model. Lineage: Bacteria; Bacillati; Bacillota. The record is from RNAcentral.